RNAcentral lists this ribosomal RNA (187 nucleotides) under uncultured bacterium. RNAcentral's name for it is "partial 16S ribosomal RNA". It matches the Rfam family "Bacterial small subunit ribosomal RNA", at positions 1314 to 1500 of the family's 1533-position model. The record is from RNAcentral.
GCCUGCAUGAAGCUGGAAUUGCUAGUAAUCGCGGAUCAGCAAGCCGCGGUGAAUACGUUCCCGGGCCUUGUACACACCGCCCGUCACACCAUGAGAGUCGGGAACACCCGAAGUCCGUAGUCUAACCGCAAGGGGGGCGCGGCCGAAGGUGGGUCCGGUAAUUGGGGUGAAGUCGUAACAAGGUAUC